RNAcentral lists this long non-coding RNA (2418 nucleotides) under Marmota monax (woodchuck). The stretch from base 1887 to 1958 matches the Rfam family "tRNA". The record is from RNAcentral. Lineage: Eukaryota; Metazoa; Chordata; Mammalia; Rodentia; Sciuridae.
UCUUUUUUUUUAUUUUUAUAGUUGUUGAUGGACCUUUAUUGAUUUAUAUGUGGUGCUGAGAAUUGAACCUAAGUGCCUCAUACAUGCUAGGCAAGCGUCUACCACUGAGCCAAAACCCAGCCCACAGACUUUUUAAUUUUUUAUUGUUGGUUGUUCAAAACAUUACAUAGUUCUUGAUAUAUCAUAUUUCACACUUUGAUUCAAGUGGGUUAUGAGCAGCCCACAGACUUUUAAAAAAUAAACCAGAACAAGCAGUGGUUCUUCAAUGCAACCUCCACUAUCAUAAAAGGUGAUGAUGUGCCUCAUUCAUUUUUUAAGGUUCUUAAAUUCUGUUUUCAAAUAAUAUUAUGUGCCUUCCAGUGUGUCUUAGGCAUGGUGAUACAUGCCUAUAAUCCCACCAACUCAGGAGCCUGAGGUUGGAGGAUUGCAAAUUCAAGGCUGGCCUCAGAAACAUAGGGAGAUCCUGUCCCAAAACUUAAAACCCUGGGUUUGAUCCCUAGUACCACCAAAGGGGCCAGAGCCAUUAUUCAUCAUUUUCUCCCCAGUGUUCUUUAAGAAGGAGAAACACCUCAGAGGAGAAAAAAAAGUUAACAAAAGAAACAAGAUUUUAAUUGUGGUCAUCAAGUCCUCAGUGUUUGGAGUUAUGCCUUCAGAUGUUUAGAUGCUAUAAUGACUACUUUUCUAUUUAUUUCAAAAUAAAUAAUAUGAUUUUGCCAUUUCUAUUUACUAUGGAAAAGUUGCCAAGAAAAAGAUUUCAAAAAGGAUAUUUUGAAGCUGAUAUUUUGAAGAUGUGUGACUGAUUCAAAUCAAAGACUAAUAUCUCCUGUUUUUUGGGUUUUUUUGUUUAUUUUUCUUGUUGUUGGUUUGUUUUUGUUUUUUGGGUUUUGUUGUGGUGGUAGUUGUUAUUUUUUUGUAUUGGGGAUUGAACCCAGGGGCACUUUACCACUGAGCCACAUCCCCAGCCUGAUUUUAUUUUUUAUUUUGACACAGUCUGUAAGUUGCUUAGUGCCUCACUAAAUUGCUGAGGCUGGCCUCAAACUCAAUCCUCCUGCCUCAGCAUCCCAAUCUCUAGGAUUACAGGCGUGAAACACCACCACUUAAUGUGUCCUAGGCUUGAUGUUCAGGGCUUUAAUUUGGUAAUUUAAUCUUCCCAGUGGUUCUGUUAAGUGGAAACCAUAUCACAGAGAAGUCAAGCUGUCUUCCAAAAGUUGAAUAGCUAAUAAAUGCCGGAGCCAGGAUUAAAAUCAAGUGAUUGAUCUAGUGUACCUACACUUCACCACUGUCCUCUACUGUCUGCCCCCAGAGCCCUCAAUUCUAAGAAGAAAUCAGAAUUAAUAUUGACUUUGAACAUCGCAUUUAUAAGAGUAAUAAAUACUACCUGUAUGCCAGGCACUGUGCGUAAGCAUUUCCUCAUUUAAAAUAACCCACAGCCCUCUAAGGACUAAACAGAAGAAAAUUAGACAACAACUUGGCACAGGGUGUUGGACUUAAAUGAGAAACCCUCAUUUCAUCCUGUGAUACUUUAAUUCCCAUGUUGAGUCCACUCUCAGCCCUGGAUAAACCAUCUUCUUAAAUAUUCAUCUGACAGGGCUGAGGUGGUAGCUCAGUGGUAGAGCACUUGCCUAACACAGGUGAGGCACUGGGUUCAAUUCUCAGUACUGAUAUAAAUAAGUAAAAUAAAGGUCCAUCGGCAACUAAAAAUAUUUUUUUAAUUCACCUGAGAAUGAGGGUAUCUUUAUUGCUCCCAAAUAAAACAAGCUGAUGUAUUCAAAAAAGGAAUAGAGAUACUGAAUAGAUGGAUUUCAAAAAUUAUGCCCAAGAAGUCAGACACAGAAGGUUAUAUGUUAUAGGAAUCCAUUUAUAUAAAAUAUUCAGAAUAGGGGGCUGGGGUUGUGGCUCAGUGGUAGAGUGCUUGCCUAGCACAUGUGAGGCACUGAGUUCAAGCCUCAGCACCACUUAAAAAUAAAUAAAACAAAGGUAUUCUGUCAUCUAUAACUAAAAGAAAAAAAAAUUGGUGCAGCCAAUCUGGAAAGUAGUAUAGAGAUUCCUUGGAAAACUUGGAAUGGAACCACCGUUUGACUCAGCUAUCCCACUCCUCUGUCUAUACCCAAAGGACUUAAAACAUCAUACUUCAGGGACACAGCCACAUCAAUGUUUAUAGCAGCACAAUUCACAAUAGCUAAAUUGUGGAACCAACCCAGAUGCCCUUCAGUGGAUGAAUGGAUAAAGAAACUGUGGUAUAUAUACACAAUGGAAUAUUACUCAGCAUUAAAGGAAUAAAAUCAUGGCAUUUGCAAGUAAAUGGAUGGAGUUAGAGAAUAUAAUGCUAAGUGAAGUAAGCCAAUCUCAAAAAACCAAAGGCUGAAUGUUUUCUUUGAUAUGAGGAUACUAACUCAUAAUGGUGAUAAGGGGGUGGAG